This is a long non-coding RNA of Manis javanica (Malayan pangolin), 476 nucleotides long. RefSeq lists it as uncharacterized. The record is from RefSeq and is a predicted model, not a curated record. Lineage: Eukaryota; Metazoa; Chordata; Mammalia; Pholidota; Manidae.
AUAUUCAUGGUAGAAGCUGAGGUUUUUUGUUUUCCAGAGGGAUUCGCAGCUGAGAGCCAGCAAAAUGUGCAUCAGAAUGUUUAUUUGCCCUGGACAGAAGCCAGCUCUAGCCAAUUUAAGCAGAAACAGAGCAGCUGAAAAGCUACUCACAGAACCUCUGGGAAGUUCUGUGUUUAGUGUCAUCACCCUGGUAGCUUGAAAUCAGCCGUCGGGAGAGUAUAGACACAGAAACGAGCACACACUGCACCCUAGGCCUGCCCUUCCUUCACAGCAGGCUGUUAAACUUUUACCAGGACACCACUACUCAUAAGAAGAUGGAUGACUCCAUUUCCUAUCCUCAGGCUGUGUGAGUCCCAGGAGGACGACCUGGCAGAUGCGGAGGAGAGGGUGGAAGUCCUCCAGAGAGCUGACCUGGCCUUGAAUGCAAGAUCUGAAUAUGAAGAGUAAAUGAGGAGGUGAUGGACAGGGGAAUAAAA